This is a long non-coding RNA of Leopardus geoffroyi (Geoffroy's cat), 1698 nucleotides long. RefSeq lists it as uncharacterized. The record is from RefSeq and is a predicted model, not a curated record. NCBI's taxonomy places the organism in Eukaryota, Metazoa, Chordata, Mammalia, Carnivora, Felidae. The transcript has 4 exons.
AGCGGGGUAGAAAGGCAGAAUUUUAGGCAGGCCCCAUGUGUAGCACAGAGUCCAAUGCGGGGCCCGAUCCCCUGACCCUGGGAUCACCACCUGAGCCGAAACCGAGUUGGACACGAAAACGAUGGAGCCACCCGGGUGCCCCUAGGAUGAAACUCGCGCAAGUACAUCUUACCCGGCGUCUGGGGCACUCAGUAGAGGGUGGUGCUUCCAACCAGGCGGGAUCUCCGAGCCUCACGUUGAAAGGGCCCGGGGCAGACGCAAGCGCGCCUGUCUUCUGCGCCCACCAGAGGGCAGCAGGGAGCCGCGCCAGACCUAGGACACCACUCGGGUGGCCGUGCACCCUCCAGGAGACCCCUUUCCACGUCAGGGGCGGGUCUGCCACUGACCCGCCGGAAACCCCUUCUCCCCCAGGUGUCUGUUCCUGUCAAAGAUGAGGCCCCGGGCCCAGAGCCCAGCCUUGACUUGUGAGGACGACACGGGAGCCGUGGGUACACUGGCCGCAGGACCCUGCUAAAGACGCCCGGCGUGGACGUGUCCGAGCCGCGCUAUUACUGCGACGCGAACCCGGCCUCGCCCCCGCACGCGCUCGGCUGCCUGGUAGCCAAGGAGGGGACGCGACCACACGGCACGGCCGCCACAGCUGUCCCUCCAGCCCGCCCUAGGGAGGUGGGGUGCGGAAGCGGAUCUUCUUGGCCGUCUCCACGUCAGAUUUGGCAACCAGAAAGCGCAUCUUCUUUCCUCCGUGUCGGAUCAGGUCCACAGCCCUGAAAGCCGGCCCGGGGAGACGCUUGGCGUGGCCGACUUGCCACGGGUCCAGCCUCGGGGCCCGGAACCGGUACCCUGAGGUCUGAGGACAGAGGGGACACGGCCAGCCGGGGAAGCGGCUGCCGCACGGGCCCUUCUCUGAAGCGCCACCGAGCUGCCCCACUGAGCCCGGUCCCGAGCCUGCGGCCGGCCCUGCCCCGCCCCGCCCGCCCGUGGUCUCCCAGUGACUGCGCGAGCCGUGGGCCUGCGUGGGGCAGUCCUGAGCAGGAGGAGCCCAGGGGGCCGCUCACCAUCCCGUCGAUCAGGCCCAUCCCCAGGCCGGAGGGACCCCGCUCCAGCUCUACCACGAACACGUAGCAGAAGUCCUCGGCGCUGGAGCUGCGGCUGGAGAGGGCUGGCGGGGGCUCGUCCGCCGGAGCCACGCCGUCUCCUGGGCAGGUCAGAUCAGGCCUUCAGGCAGAGCGUGUGGCUGCAGUCCCCUCACCAGCAAGCAGGUGCCUUGCCUCAGGCCCGGAUCUGCCCAGGUGACCCCUGGCCUUGGGGCACACCCAGAGUCUGCAGGGGCACUGCCGGGGGCGGCACUGCCGGGGGCUGCUCUGCCCUGCACUUCAGGGCCCCCCCCGCCCUCCCCCCAGCCUCCUACCUGGUGCACACCACCUAAGCCGUCCCUUCCUCCACCCUGGGGGGAGGGACUUCGUCCCACAGGUGGCUGUGCACCCUGUGCCCUUCGACGGGGGCCUGAACCACCCUGCGCCCGCCUCACGUGGCCCCUAGAGCCUGCCCAGCACGGGCUACGGGCGUUCAUGGGCAGGUACCAGAAGCCCAGGCCAAACGUGCCCCUAGGGCCGCACGGUUACAGUGACCCAAAGGGGCCCCGCCCAGGUGCCGGGGAGGGGGGGGGGGACUGGGGGCUGUUGGGAGCCUGGGGACAGG